GCCUGGCUAGCUCAGUCGGUAGAGCAUGAGACUCUUAAUCUCAGGGACGUGGGUUCCUGCCCCACGUUGGGCG
This 73-nucleotide transfer RNA is filed under the name Cricetulus griseus (Chinese hamster). It matches the Rfam family "tRNA". Rfam says of the family: Transfer RNA (tRNA) molecules are approximately 80 nucleotides in length. Lineage: Eukaryota; Metazoa; Chordata; Mammalia; Rodentia; Cricetidae. The record is from Rfam by way of RNAcentral.